Molecule: ribosomal RNA, 253 nt
Filed under: uncultured bacterium
Lineage: Bacteria
Description: partial 16S ribosomal RNA
Rfam family: Bacterial small subunit ribosomal RNA
Source: RNAcentral
UACGUAGGGUGCAAGCGUUGUCCGGAAUUAUUGGGCGUAAAGAGCUCGUAGGCGGUUUGUCGCGUCUGCUGUGAAAACUCAGGGCUUAACCCUGAGCCUGCAGUGGGUACGGGCAGACUAGAGUGUGGUAGGGGAGAUCGGAAUUCCUGGUGUAGCGGUGGAAUGCGCAGAUAUCGAGAGGAACACCAGUGGCGAAGGCGAGUCCCUGGACAACUCCUGACGCUGAGGCACGAAAGCUAGGGGAGCAAACAGG